Molecule: long non-coding RNA, 4847 nt
Organism: Oncorhynchus nerka (sockeye salmon)
Lineage: Eukaryota; Metazoa; Chordata; Actinopteri; Salmoniformes; Salmonidae
Exons: 2
Source: RefSeq, a predicted model, not a curated record
CCUCUACCAUCGACCCUUAACCAAUACCACACCUCUGUCAUCGACCCUUAACCAAUACCACACCUCUACCAUCGACCCUUAACCAAUACCACACCUCUACCAUCCGACCCUUAACCAAUACCACACCUCUAUCAUCGACCCUUAACCAAUACCACACCUCUGUCAUCGACCCUUAACCAAUACCACACCUCUACCAUCGACCCUUAACCAAUACCACACCUCUACCAUCGACCCUUAACCAAUACCACACCUCUGUCAUCGACCCUUAACCAAUACCACACCUCUACCAUCGACCCUUAACCAAUACCACACCUCUACCAUCGACCCUUAACCAAUACCACACCUCUACCAUCGACCCUUAACCAAUACCACACCUCUGUCAUCGACCCUUAACCAAUACCACACCUCUGUCAUCGACCCUUAACCAAUACCACACCUCUGUCAUCGACCCUUAACCAAUACCACACCUCUGUCAUCGACCCUUAACCAAUACCACUCCUCUGUCAUCCACCCUUAACCAAUACCACACCUCUGUCAUCGACCCUUAACCAAUACCACACCUCUACCAUCGACCCUUAACCAAUACCACACCUCUACCAUCGACCCUUAACCAAUACCACACCUCUACCAUCGACCCUUAACCAAUACCACACCUCUGUCAUCGACCCUUAACCAAUACCACACCUCUACCAUCGACCCUUAACCAAUACCACACCUCUACCAUCGACCCUUAACCAAUACCACACCUCUACCAUCGACCCUUAACCAAUACCACACCUCUGUCAUCGACCCUUAACCAAUACCACACCUCUACCAUCGACCCUUAACCAAUACCACACCUCUGUCAUCGACCCUUAACCAAUACCACACCUCUGUCAUCGACCCUUAACCAAUACCACACCUCUGUCAUCGACCCUUAACCAAUACCACACCUCUGUCAUCCACCCUUAACCAAUACCACACCUCUACCAUCGACCCUUAACCAAUACCACACCUCUGUCAUCGACCCUUAACCAAUACCACACCUCUGUCAUCCACCCUUAACCAAUACCACACCUCUACCAUCGACCCUUAACCAAUACCACACCUCUGUCAUCGACCCUUAACCAAUACCACACCUCUGUCAUCGACCCUUAACCAAUACCACACCUCUACCAUCGACCCUUAACCAAUACCACACCUCUGCCAUCGACCCUUAACCAAUACCACACCUCUGUCAUCGACCCUUAACCAAUACCACACCUCUGUCAUCGACCCUUAACCAAUACCACACCUCUGUCAUCGACCCUUAACCAAUACCACACCUCUGUCAUCGACCCUUAACCAAUACCACUCCUCUGUCAUCCACCCUUAACCAAUACCACUCCUCUGUCAUCCACCCUUAACCAAUACCACACCUCUACCAUCGACCCUUAACCAAUACCACACCUCUACCAUCGACCCUUAACCAAUACCACACCUCUGUCAUCGACCCUUAACCAAUACCACACCUCUGUCAUCGACCCUUAACCAAUACCACACCUCUACCAUCGACCCUUAACCAAUACCACACCUCUACCAUCGACCCUUAACCAAUACCACACCUCUACCAUCGACCCUUAACCAAUACCACACCUCUACCAUCGACCCUUAACCAAUACCACACCUCUGUCAUCGACCCUUAACCAAUACCACACCUCUACCAUCGACCCUUAACCAAUACCACACCUCUGUCAUCGACCCUUAACCAAUACCACACCUCUGUCAUCGACCCUUAACCAAUACCACUCCUCUGUCAUCGACCCUUAACCAAUACCACUCCUCUGUCAUCCACCCUUAACCAAUACCACACCUCUACCAUCGACCCCUUAACCAAUACCACACCUCUGUCAUCCACCCUUAACCAAUACCACACCUCUGUCAUCGACCCCUUAACCAAUACCACACCUCUGUCAUCCACCCUUAACCAAUACCACACCUCUACCAUCGACCCUUAACCAAUACCACACCUCUGUCAUCGACCCUUAACCAAUACCACACCUCUGUCAUCCACCCUUAACCAAUACCACUCCUCUGUCAUCCACCCCUUAACCAAUACCACACCUCUACCAUCGACCCCUUAACCAAUACCACACCUCUGUCAUCGACCCCUUAACCAAUACCACACCUCUGUCAUCGACCCUUAACCAAUACCACACCUCUACCAUCGACCCUUAACCAAUACCACACCUCUACCAUCGACCCUUAACCAAUACCACACCCUUAACCAAUACCACACCUCUGUCAUCGACCCCUUAACCAAUACCACACCUCUACCAUCGACCCUUAACCAAUACCACACCUCUACCAUCGACCCUUAACCAAUACCACACCUCUGUCAUCGACCCUUAACCAAUACCACACCUCUACCAUCGACCCUUAACCAAUACCACACCUCUACCAUCGACCCUUAACCAAUACCACACCUCUACCAUCGACCCUUAACCAAUACCACACCUCUGUCAUCGACCCUUAACCAAUACCACACCUCUGUCAUCGACCCUUAACCAAUACCACACCUCUGUCAUCGACCCUUAACCAAUACCACACCUCUGUCAUCGACCCUUAACCAAUACCACACCUCUGUCAUCGACCCUUAACCAAUACCACACCUCUGUCAUCGACCCUUAACCAAUACCACUCCUCUGUCAUCCACCCUUAACCAAUACCACUCCUCUGUCAUCCACCCUUAACCAAUACCACUCCUCUGUCAUCCACCCUUAACCAAUACCACACCUCUACCAUCGACCCUUAACCAAUACCACACCUCUACCAUCGACCCUUAACCAAUACCACACCUCUGUCAUCGACCCUUAACCAAUACCACACCUCUACCAUCGACCCUUAACCAAUACCACACCUCUACCAUCGACCCUUAACCAAUACCACACCUCUGUCAUCGACCCUUAACCAAUACCACACCUCUACCAUCGACCCCUUAACCAAUACCACACCUCUGUCAUCGACCCUUAACCAAUACCACACCUCUGCCAUCGACCCUUAACCAAUACCACACCUCUGUCAUCGACCCUUAACCAAUACCACACCCUUAACCAAUACCACACCUCUACCAUCGACCCUUAACCAAUACCACACCCUUAACCAAUACCACACCUCUACCAUCGACCCCUUAACCAAUACCACACCUCUACCAUCGACCCCUUAACCAAUACCACACCUCUGUCUUCGACCCUUAACCAAUACCACACCUCUGUCAUCGACCCUUAACCAAUACCACACCUCUACCAUCGACCCCUUAACCAAUACCACACCUCUACCAUCGACCCCUUAACCAAUACCACACCUCUACCAUCGACCCCUUAACCAAUACCACACCUCUGUCAUCGACCCUUAACCAAUACCACACCCUUAACCAAUACCACACCUCUACCAUCGACCCUUAACCAAUACCACACCCUUAACCAAUACCACACCUCUACCAUCGACCCCUUAACCAAUACCACACCUCUGUCAUCGACCCUUAACCAAUACCACACCCUUAACCAAUACCACACCUCUGUCAUCCACCCUUAACCAAUACCACACCUCUACCAUCGACCCUUAACCAAUACCACACCUCUACCAUCGACCCUUAACCAAUACCACACCCUUAACCAAUACCACACCUCUGUCAUCGACCCCUUAACCAAUACCACACCUCUACCAUCGACCCUUAACCAAUACCACACCUCUGCCAUCGACCCUUAACCAAUACCACACCUCUGUCAUCGACCCUUAACCAAUACCACACCUCUGUCAUCAACCCUUAACCAAUACCACACCCUUAACCAAUACCACACCUCUACCAUCGACCCUUAACCAAUACCACACCCUUAACCAAUACCACACCUCUACCAUCGACCCCUUAACCAAUACCACACCUCUGUCAUCGACCCUUAACCAAUACCACACCUCUGUCAUCCACCCUUAACCAAUACCACACCUCUACCAUCGACCCUUAACCAAUACCACACCUCUAUUGCAAUCAACUUUCACCCAGGUCAGAUUAAUGGAAUCCCCUCAUAGCUAAUCACUGUGAUGUCAUCAAGAUGUGUCCAUUCAGAUUGUCCUCACCUGUCUGUGUGUGUGUGUGUGUGUGUGUGUGUGUGUGUGUGUGUGUGUAUCUCUCUGUGUAACAGAGACAGUUGUUUGGUAUGGAGGCUCCAGCCACUGUUAACCUGACUGGAUGGAGGAGACAUUUCAACAGCUACACACUACAGGGGAGACGCAACUUUGUCCUGGCUACCUAUGGUGUCCUAGCGUUGUCGGCAGCAGCCUAUAUGAUACGCCAUCGGAGUAAAGAGGACCCAAGAGUAGCCAGCCCCACUGCCUGACUGGAAAGACUGACACCCCCUCUCAUCUAUCAAUGUCCCAAUGCUUUAUUGGCCUGAUAUUCACAUUGAUUUCCAAUACUACCGAAUCAGAGAUUCAUAACAGCAGCGCUCCCCCUCACUUCUGCUCCCCCUCUCUUCUGCUCCCUCUCUCUUCCCCCCGCUCUCUCUCUUCCCCCCUCUCUCUCUCUUCCCCCCUCUCUCUCUCUUCCCCCCUCUCUCUCUCUUCCUCUCUCUUCCCCUCUCUCUUCCCCCUCUCUCUCUCUUCCCCUCUCUCUUCCUCUCUUCCUCUCUCUUCCCCUCUCUCUCUCUCUUCCCCCCUCUCUCUCUCUUCCUCUCUCUUCCCCUCUCUCUUCCCCUCUCUCUUCCUCCCUCUCUCUCUCUUCCCCUCUCUCUCCCCCUCUCUUCCCCCUCUCUCUCUUCCCCUCUCUCCCUCUCUCUCUUCCUCUCUCUCUCUCUCUCUGUGUGUAUGUUAAUAAAUAGAGUUUAAUCCAGUCA